Molecule: unclassified non-coding RNA, 600 nt
Filed under: Hevea brasiliensis (rubber tree)
Lineage: Eukaryota; Viridiplantae; Streptophyta; Magnoliopsida; Malpighiales; Euphorbiaceae
Source: RNAcentral
GUUCAGCAGAAAGGUGCUACUGUUGAACAAAAAUAUACUGCCGAGAAGGUUUUUGAUAUCCUCAAGGAAGCUUGGAACAAGUUCAAUAAGGAGGAACUUUCUUAAAAACUUUUGAUGAUUCAUCCUGUUGACUAUUUUUGCGCAAUUUGGCAAUCUCAGAACUCUCAAUUUGGGGCAAAUGAAACUUGUGCAGUUCUGUUCUGCAGCUUUGGGUGCAAUGUGCUUGCAUUACGACAUGAAAUCCAUUAUUAUUCGAUGCUUGGGAAAGAACUUUCGUGUUCGUGUAUGGUUUUGUAUAUUAAUGCUGUUUCUAUAAACAUUACGUGUUACAACAAUCAUAGAACCGCCCCCAGAGUAAGUUCAGACGGCCCAUGCAUUUUAUGUUGGUGGUCAGGAUUCUCAUCGUGAUAUUUUGUUUUUAAAUUUUUUAAGAGGGAGGUGGGAGUUUGCGUGAUGUUCUUUUUUAUUUGUAAUAAUGGUUCUCUGAGCAUCUCCCAAUUGAUGUCUUGAGCACAACGGUCACAUUCUGUGAUUUGAGGUGCUGGUGGGUUAUCCAGUAGUUCCUGAAUCAUGACCAGCAACAUAAAAUGCAUGGGCCGU